Molecule: small nucleolar RNA, 108 nt
Organism: Panicum hallii
Lineage: Eukaryota; Viridiplantae; Streptophyta; Magnoliopsida; Poales; Poaceae
Source: RefSeq, a predicted model, not a curated record
AUGCCAUGGUGUGGGCAUGUUGCAAUGUAUUCCUGGAGACGUUCCCAGGCUUCCGAGAUUGUCUUAUCUGGAGUUGUUGAAAACUGGAAAUCGUGUUCCGUAGGGCAU